This 253-nucleotide ribosomal RNA is filed under the name uncultured bacterium. Its description in RNAcentral is "partial 16S ribosomal RNA". It matches the Rfam family "Bacterial small subunit ribosomal RNA", at positions 524 to 776 of the family's 1533-position model. The record is from RNAcentral.
UACGUAGGGUGCAAGCGUUGUCCGGAUUUAUUGGGUUUAAAGGGUGCGUAGGUGGCUCUUUAAGUCCUGGGUGAAAGCCCACAGCUCAACUGUGGAACUGCAUGUGAUACUGACUAGCUUGAGUGCGGUUGAGGCAGGUGGAAUUGGUAGUGUAGCGGUGAAAUGCAUAGAUACCGCCAGGAACACCGGUGGCGAAGGCAGGUUGCUAAGCCGUAACUGACACUGAGGCACGAAAGCGUGGGGAUCAAACAGG